RNAcentral lists this ribosomal RNA (150 nucleotides) under Arcuospathidium namibiense. RNAcentral describes it as "5.8S ribosomal RNA". It matches the Rfam family "5.8S ribosomal RNA". Rfam says of the family: 5.8S ribosomal RNA (5.8S rRNA) is a component of the large subunit of the eukaryotic ribosome. The record is from RNAcentral. Lineage: Eukaryota; Ciliophora; Litostomatea; Haptorida; Spathidiidae.
AAAUUUUCAACGAUGGAUGUCUUGGCUCCCAUAUCGAUGAAGAACGCAGCAAGAAUGCGAUAUGCAAUGUGAAUUGCAGAACCAUGAAUCAUCGGAUCUUUGAACGCAACUGGCGCUGAUUUACCUCAGCAUACUUGAUUCAGUGUGCGC